AACGAUGAAUGGGCUCGGCCCUUGAAAUAUUGAAAUACGGAUCACAAGAUUCCCUUUUUGCUCACCCCACCUGGUACUCCAUGUCGUAGCUGGGCAGGAUGAUCCGCCCGUGCUUCCACUCGCCGCCCUGGUCCUCACGGAUGACCCACAGCAACUUGCUCUCCUGGCUGGCUUCCCGCACCACCUGCAGCGCCACCCCGCGGCCGCCCGUGGCCUGGACUUCAGGCAGGCCAUUUUCCAUGGAUUUCAGCAGGAAACAAAAAGGAUAGAAAGACCACCAAUAACCCAGGAAGGCCAAUCCAAGACUCAAAAAGAAGUAUGUUUGGCAUGAGGGCAGUAAAGAUGUUCUCUGGACAAAGACUGGUUCCCCUUAUCUGCUCUUUCUCCAGAAACCAGCCGGCCCCAAGUUUUCCAUCACCACAGGUCUUUUGUGUUGCUUCACAGUAGAUGAAAUAAAAUAUUACAUGAUCCUGGAACAAGAGUGGGACCUCAAGUGAUCUUAGGGCAGGCCAGU
RNAcentral lists this long non-coding RNA (514 nucleotides) under Homo sapiens (human). RNAcentral describes it as "PREDICTED lncRNA (TCONS_00164037)". The record is from RNAcentral. Lineage: Eukaryota; Metazoa; Chordata; Mammalia; Primates; Hominidae.